Molecule: long non-coding RNA, 1029 nt
Organism: Sebastes umbrosus (honeycomb rockfish)
Lineage: Eukaryota; Metazoa; Chordata; Actinopteri; Perciformes; Sebastidae
Exons: 2
Source: RefSeq, a predicted model, not a curated record
CAGUCACCUCUCAGCCUGCCAAGUUCAUACAAAUGGCCACUCAUGUUUGCAUUCAGCAGCACCGGUCACAGCUGCUUGGACGUCUGACAGGCCCGUCUAGAGUUCAGCCACCCUGUCUGUGUUGACAGCUUCUGCUAUUAAGGACACCAGCAGUCCACGGCUUCCCACUGAGCUACUCACUGGUUUAGAGAACACAGUGUCGAGGUCAGGGGUCAUGGCUGGAUGAAGGAUUUUCUUUGCUAAAAGAAACAACAGCGAGAAAAAGAAGAAGAGAAGCACCAGCUCCUUCAGAUACGGUGGAGUAUGAGUAACUUUUAGUGCAUUCGUGUGUGCGUUAAGCCCUAAAAACUGCAAAUUGAGCACAAAAUGUCAACGCUAUAAGCAGGAUACCUUCAAGAAACAACCUUGACAACCAAUGGCACAUUCAUUUCCUAACUAAUACCUGAACUAAAUACCUUAUUCCUCUUGAACUCCAAAGGCUUGUAAAUGAGCUAGCAUUAUGUUUUCUAUGCCAUGUGCCCUAAUCAGUGAAUAAUAGACUCAAAAAAAACGUGAAUAAACAGCAGCGGGUACUUACACUGACAAUGUAGGAGUUUCAUUUGAAAAUGGUUUACCUUCUCCUCUAGCAGUGAAGAAAAGUCAACUUGUAAUUAUUGUGGAAGUGUUUGUUUGAAUCUUAGUCGACAGAGGUAUUUAAGAGUCUGAGCCAAAUCCUCAUGCAGUCUCCCUUGAACCCGACAGAAGACACCGAGACCCCUUUAAUCUUGGCGGUAAUGCACUGACAAGCUCUUCUGACGCACCUUUCAUUUGAAAUGUUUUAAUGUCUCUUCACAUUCUGCUCCUGUCGUCUCCCUCUACUUUGCUUCUUCAGUCUCCUCAUCCCUCUUUCUGGAGGUAGGCGUUGUCAAACAUAUUAAAAAAAGGAAGUUUGAACUAACUUCUGAGGAACAUCAGUCCAGCUUUAAUCAGAAUUUUAGUGCCGCCUUUUUUUUUGGAGAAGUUCAUUUAUUAAAGUGAUGGCAUUUGUAA